GUCUAUGACGUUGCACGCAACCAUUGGUUGAUGAAUGCAACGUCUGAACAGGGGAACGCGACCGAAAUUACGCUCAGCUUUAUAGCCUGCGUUUGCACCAACAGGUUUAUACGAUUGUGUUUAGUGGAAGCGCGGUGAGAUGAUCUACAGUGCGCGCGGGACUACACUGACCUACACACCAGCUGGCAUCUGCAACAAGAAGGAUAAUUUUGCAUCCAAAUUCAUCCCCAAAAAACAACCAGAGGAGAAGAAGAAGAGGGUUAAAGUAGGCAACGGAGACGACAUUCCACCUUCCAGAGGAUUGGCACCAGCAGUAGCAAUACUGGAAGUACCAAAAAUGGAGAUAGUACCAAAAGUGGAGGUACCCCCACAAGUGGUAGAAGCUGAAGUUAUACCCAAGCCAGUAACAGUUGCCCCAGUAGUUGAAGAGAUCAAUGUUGUAGAAGAAGAGACAGUUAAAGAGCCUGAAAUGAUCCCUGAGGUUCGGGCUGUGCCAGAGCCCAUGCCAGAGCCCGUGGUUGAGCCAGAACCUGUGCCUGAGCCCAUCCCUGAGCCAGAGCCCAUCCCAGUCGUUGUUGAGGAGCCCAUCCUUGAGCUCAUCGCGAACUUGAACCUGUAUCUGUGGUGAAGGAGGUCCCCGUCAGAGAGCCCACCCCUGAGCCAGCAAGGGAACCCAACCCCAAGCCAGCGAGGGAACCCACCCCUGAGCCCAUCUUCAUGCCAGAGCCAGAGGACCUUGAGAGCAACGCUGAGGAGGUGCACUUUACCCCAGGAAUGAAGAUUAGCAAGUUGGAGAAGAUGAUGACCAAGGAGGAGAUGGAGGAGGAGCAGAGGAUAGAGCUCACACCUGACUUUACCUCUCUAUAAGCAACAUCGACAAG
Molecule: long non-coding RNA, 881 nt
Organism: Oncorhynchus tshawytscha (Chinook salmon)
Lineage: Eukaryota; Metazoa; Chordata; Actinopteri; Salmoniformes; Salmonidae
Source: Ensembl